UGUUGGCACUCGGUAACUAUAAAUGUUUCCUCCUCCCAAAUUGUUCAUUUACUAUACAUAUGUAUAAACCAUUGACGCAAUCCAGUAUCGAUCAUCGGACGGUACAGGUGCACUCGAGAGAGCCCGGUUAUAAAUGCUCCCGGAGCACCGCGGAGGCAAAGAUCAAAGUUCACGCAUCGAUAUUCGAACACGAUCACCCGCACAAUUGUGUCCCGUUAUCGAUAAAUUUCAUUCAGGGCACUCCUUUUAUCGUCCGCGAUCAUCGUUCCAUGCGCCGUGCCCCCCUGGCGAUCCCGGACUACCGGAAGAAGAACGCCGAAAAAUCAAGAACCCGGUGACCCGAUUUCGAAAACUGAAUCUCAAGUCCCGCAACAGAACCAUGUUACAGUAAUUUCUCCCUAAUUCGCGAUCAGAUCGCGCACAAAAAUUGACAAUUUGAGAAGAGGAGAUUAGAUUAAUUUCAGGCCUUAACGCAUAAAACGAAAGAAAUAUUUAUAAAAAAAACAAAUAUCGUGGCAGUCGAUUCGUCGCAAUUUUUCCUUCAAUGUCAUCCGAAGGUCAUCGUGUAGCAGGUCGUUCAAUUCGUCUCGACGUUGCCUACGACACUGCGAAGCUAAAACUGCCUAGUUUCACUUAGAAAUAGAACGGUGACCUUGUUUCUUUCAUCGAAGAUCGAUUUGUUUUUAAAUUUAGACAAUUGCAUUUUUGUGUUGAUUAAAUACUAAUUAACUUUGACCAUCCUGUAUAUAAGGCCGGUGGAAAAUCGCGGUACAACCGGCCAGGGGAUGAUUCUACAUGGAGAAAUAAGUCGGAAAAAUAGAGAAACAUUUUUUCAUUUAAGACUGCGUUUUCUAGGAAAAUAAGUUGUUUAAAGAUCCGAUAUACGUGACAUAAAUAAAUAGUAUAAAUAAUAAUAAUAAAGUAUAAAUAUAAUAUAAAUAUAGUAAUAUAUUUCUUCCACCAACUUUUACUCGAACACAGAGCCGUGAAUGGAAAAAAGAAAAUGUUAUCCUUUUCUCGACUUAUUUUUUACCGCGAUUUUUCAGCCACCCCGUAUACAUUUUAUUUUUAAUUUUAGCGCGACGCGCACAGCGAGCGUCAAGAAACGAUCGAAUAGAUUCCUUUUUAACGAGCUUACGUCAUCAGAAAAAUAGCGGAAAGUCUGGCCGAAUUGAUUCCUGCCAUUUUCAUAAAGCAACGCGACGUUGCUCGUUUCCAGAGCUCGGCGGAUUUAGCGUUUAAUCGAUGCGCGAUACAAAUCGGUUUCCUCGAUUCUUCCCGUUCAAGGGUUACAGCUCCGGUUACACGUUCAACCCUCUCGGAAAGCAUCGAAUCGUCGCUGGGGAUUUUACCAAAAUUUCAAUUCUCAAAAUAAGGUUAUUAUCAGCGAGUGAGAUUAGAUAUUCGUCGAUUAGGGUAGCAACGGAAUAGAGUAGAGCGUAUAGCCACCGUAAACGCAGCGUCUUCCGAGUCCUUCGAACGCUCUUCAUUCUUGUAGGUGUGUAAUCAUUCCGAUUCGAUAGUUCUGCAGCGCAGCGCGCAACUCCGAAAACGAUGACGCACGAAUGCAUACUUUCGUCGGGGCCGUCGAAACGGCGCGAUAGCGUCGCCGACGAUAAGAAACAAUCUGACAGACAACUGGACACAAUUUUGACACUUGCUGCUCUUAAAACGAUCUGCGGUUGUUCCCGAGGCAAAUAUAUGUUUCUCAGUUCA
Long non-coding RNA from Megalopta genalis, 1716 nucleotides. RefSeq lists it as uncharacterized. Lineage: Eukaryota; Metazoa; Arthropoda; Insecta; Hymenoptera; Halictidae. The record is from RefSeq and is a predicted model, not a curated record.